Molecule: ribosomal RNA, 345 nt
Filed under: uncultured bacterium
Lineage: Bacteria
Description: partial 16S ribosomal RNA
Rfam family: Bacterial small subunit ribosomal RNA
Source: RNAcentral
GGGCGCUAGCCUGAACCAGCCAAGUAGCGUGAAGGAUSAAGGCUCUAUGGGUCGUAAACUUCUUUUAUAUAAGAAUAAAGNUGCAGNUAUGUAUACUGUUUUGUAUGUAUUAUAUGAAUAAGGAUCGGNCUAACUCCGUGCCAGCAGCCGCGGUAAUACGGAGGAUCCGAGCGUUAUCCGGAUUUAUUGGGUUKAAAGGGAGCGUARNGUGGACUGGUAAGUCAGUUGUGAAAGUUUGCGGCUCAACCGUAAAAUUGCASUUGAUACUGUCAKUCUUGAGUACAGUAKAGGUGGGCGGAAUUCRUGGUGUAGNCGGUGAAAUGCUUAGAUAUCACRAAKAACUCC